GAACGCUAGCGGCAGGCUUAAUACAUGCAAGUCGUGGGGCAGCAUGAGUAGCAAUACUUGAUGGCGACCGGCAAACGGGUGCGGAACACGUACACAACCUUCCGUCAAGCGGGGAAUAGCCCAGAGAAAUUUGGAUUAAUACCCCAUAAUAUAUUUGAUAAGGCAUCUUAUUAAUAUUAAAGCUUCGGCACUUGAUGAUGGGUGUGCGGCUGAUUAGAUAGUUGGUGAGGUAACGGCUCACCAAGUCUACGAUCAGUAGCUGAUGUGAGAGCAUGAUCAGCCACACGGGCACUGAGACACGGGC
RNAcentral lists this ribosomal RNA (304 nucleotides) under uncultured Chitinophagaceae bacterium. RNAcentral's name for it is "bacterial SSU rRNA". It matches the Rfam family "Bacterial small subunit ribosomal RNA", at positions 31 to 331 of the family's 1533-position model. Lineage: Bacteria; Pseudomonadati; Bacteroidota; Chitinophagia; Chitinophagales; Chitinophagaceae. The record is from RNAcentral.